Molecule: ribosomal RNA, 497 nt
Filed under: uncultured bacterium
Lineage: Bacteria
Description: partial 16S ribosomal RNA
Rfam family: Bacterial small subunit ribosomal RNA
Source: RNAcentral
GAUGAACGCUGGCGGCGUGCCUAACACAUGCAAGUCGAGCGGAAAGAUGCUGCUUUUGCUCCUUUCUCGUUAGCGGCGGGCGGGUGUGUCACACGUGUAUACCCUACUUAUCUGUCUGGGAUAACUACGGGAAUGCGGAGCUAAUCCCGGAUAAUAUCUUGAACCGCAGGGUUCAUUGGUGAAUGUCGGUUUUGCUGUCUCUUAUCGCUGGUUCCCGGCUGUAUUGGGUAGUUGGUAGGGAAACGGCGUACCAAGGCUACGAUGCGUAGCCGAAGUGAGAGGGUGAUCGGCCACACGGGAACGGAAACACGGUCCAGACGCCUACGGGAGGGAGCAGUAUGGAAGAGGCGGCAAUGGGCGAAAGCCUGACGGAGCAACGCCGCGUGAGUGAUAAAGGUCUUCGGAGCGUAAAGCUCUGUUAUUGGGUAAGAACAAAUGUGGAAGGAACUAUAGCCGGCUUGACGGUACCUAAUCAAAAAGCCACGGCUAACUACGUG